GCCUUCGUGGUGUAACGGUUAGCACACUCGGCGCGUAUUCGAGAGAUCCAGGUUCGAGUCCCGGCGAGGACA
This 72-nucleotide transfer RNA is filed under the name Stegodyphus mimosarum. It matches the Rfam family "tRNA". From Rfam's summary of the family: Transfer RNA (tRNA) molecules are approximately 80 nucleotides in length. Their secondary structure includes four short double-helical elements and three loops (D, anti-codon, and T loops). The record is from Rfam by way of RNAcentral. Lineage: Eukaryota; Metazoa; Arthropoda; Arachnida; Araneae; Eresidae.